ACCCUCCGACGCUCAAGUCAGUUCUCUGCCUCAACAAGAAUGGAGUGCUCGAACGAAGAAUUUAGCAGAGUUUUGAGAUAGGAAAAUGAGCUUAGAGAAUAACGUAUCUGGGUCCCCCUUUUAUAGGCGGAGGAGACAACGGAUUGAUGGCGACAUUUGUAACCGUCUGGUAGUGGGCCGCCCAUGGUCAGAGGAAUUGAUUGCGAAGG
Molecule: long non-coding RNA, 209 nt
Filed under: Elaeis guineensis (African oil palm)
Lineage: Eukaryota; Viridiplantae; Streptophyta; Magnoliopsida; Arecales; Arecaceae
Description: long non-coding RNA (EGUI_LNC057452)
Source: RNAcentral